AUGAAGGGUGUUGUUGCUGGCCUUGUCAUGGUGCUCAGUGCUCUUGCCGGGUUCGGGCCUGGCAAGACGGCGAGAGCUGUGCCGGCGGUCUACGUGCUCGGGGACUCGUCACUGGACGUGGGCAACAACAACUACUUACCAGGAGAAAGUGUCCCAAGGGCCAACAAGCCCUUCCAUGGCGUCGACUUCCCUGGACCCGGAGGACCUAAGCCCACCGGAAGGUUCAGCAAUGGCUACAAUGUGGCCGACUUCAUUGGAGCUGGGAUUCUCGAUUCAACGGAUCUGUACAUGAUGGGCGCGAGGAAGAUCGGCAUCAUCAACGUUGGCCUGUCCGGGUGUAUCCCAAUGGUCCGCGCGCACGACGCGACCGGCACAUGCAACGACGGCACAAACGAGCUAGCGGCCGGGUUCAAUGGCGCCCUCGAGUCCUUCCUCGCCGACCUAGCGGCCAGGCUGCCGGGCCUCGCCUGCUCCCUCGCCGACGGCUUUGCCCACAGGCAAGCCCUCAUCGCUGACCCGCAGGCUCAAGGCUUCGUGAACGCGACCAGCGCGUGCUGCGGGAGCGGGAGGCUCGGCGGGGAGGCCCGUUGCCUGCCCACCUCGAACCUCUGCGGCGACCGUGAUGGCUACGUGUACUGGGACUGGGUGCACGCCACCCAGCGGGCUGCUGAGAUGGCCGCCGAGGCGUUCUUCCAUGGCCCGGCGCAGUUUACCAUGCCUCUUACUUUCAAGCAGCUGGCAGAGAAGAAAGGGGCGGACCUAAUGGAACAAUAA
Molecule: ribosomal RNA, 774 nt
Filed under: Triticum aestivum (bread wheat)
Lineage: Eukaryota; Viridiplantae; Streptophyta; Magnoliopsida; Poales; Poaceae
Description: partial small subunit ribosomal RNA
Source: RNAcentral